Molecule: ribosomal RNA, 490 nt
Filed under: uncultured bacterium
Lineage: Bacteria
Description: bacterial SSU rRNA
Rfam family: Bacterial small subunit ribosomal RNA
Source: RNAcentral
GAUGAACGCUAGCUACAGGCUUAACACAUGCAAGUCGAGGGGCAGCAUGGACAUAGCUUGCUAUGUUUGAUGGCGACCGGCGCACGGGUGCGUAACACGUAUCCAAUCUGCCCGUUACUCGGGGAUAGCCUUCUGAAAGGAAGAUUAAUACCCGAUGGCAUGUAUUUCCGGCAUCGGAGAUACAUUAAAGAUUUAUCGGUAACGGAUGAGGAUGCGUACGAUUAGCUUGUUGGCGGGGUAACGGCCCACCAAGGCGACGAUCGUUAGGGGUUCUGAGAGGAAGGUCCCCCACACUGGAACUGAGACACGGUCCAGACUCCUACGGGAGGCAGCAGUGAGGAAUAUUGGUCAAUGGUCGGAAGACUGAACCAGCCAAGUAGCGUGAAGGAUGACUGCCCUACGGGUUGUAAACUGCUUUUAGUUGGGAAUAAAAAGAGGGACGUGUCCCUAAUUGUAUGUACCAUCAGAAAAAGGACCGGCUAAUUCCGUG